AGACGGAGGGGGCUAGCGUUAAUCGGAAUUACUGGGCGUAAAGCGCGCGUAGGCGGCUGAUUAAGUCGGAUGUGAAAUCCCUGGGCUCAACCUAGGAACUGCAUCCGAUACUGGUCAGCUAGAGUUUUGGAGAGGUAAGUGGAAUUUCCGGUGUAGCGGUGAAAUGCAUAGAGAUCGGAAGGAACACCAGUGGCGAAGGCGACUUACUGGCCAAAAACUGACGCUGAGGUGCGAAAGCGUGGGUAGCGAACAGGAUUAGAAACCCGAGUAGUCC
RNAcentral lists this ribosomal RNA (274 nucleotides) under uncultured bacterium. RNAcentral's name for it is "partial 16S ribosomal RNA". It matches the Rfam family "Bacterial small subunit ribosomal RNA", at positions 523 to 796 of the family's 1533-position model. The record is from RNAcentral.